Molecule: long non-coding RNA, 709 nt
Filed under: Marmota monax (woodchuck)
Lineage: Eukaryota; Metazoa; Chordata; Mammalia; Rodentia; Sciuridae
Source: RNAcentral
GAUGAGAGGCCCCUGGGGAUGAGGCGCUGGGUCCCUGCUGUGGGUAGGGAAGCUCUGUGAGCCGUAGUAAAGGGCAGAGGGGUGCAGCACAGGCUGCAGGCUUCAGUUCUGAGGUCUCCCCGAGCAUUCGCCCUCUGUCUCAGCAGCCCCCACCCAGGUUUCCCACACUCCCCUGAGAAAGGAUGACUUAUUCCUCAGUGCCCUGGACUCCAAGUGUGGACGAAGCAGGUGGCUCCUGUGUGCACGACUCCUGCCCCAUGCUGUGGAGGCGAUUGGUGGAGUCCUGGAAUUGGGCAGGUCGCAGUGGUUCCAUGGGCAGUGAGCACUGUGCCUCCGAGCCCAUCUGUCAUGGCAGCAGAGAUGGGGCAAAAUUCACAGCUCAGCUUUUGAAGCCUACUAUCACCAAAUGUUCCGCCAGGCCCUGGGCUUGUCCCAAACAGCAGGGACAGGCAGGCAGAGUGCGGCAGCAGGGACAGAGCUCCCUGUGCCACAGAAACCAGGCUCCAUCCCCAGACUCAGGAAAGGUCCCUUGACACCCACACAGCUCGCUUUCACCCACCCGGGACCUCCCUCGACACUCGCGCCUGUCCACAGCAGGCCGACUCCGCAAACACGGGUCCGCGGGGAGAUGGUGGUGUGUGGCACAAGCUGCUCCUGCAUGAGGAGGAGGGACUGGAGGGGGCAAGGCCAGGGCACUGAGAUGAGAGGC